This 253-nucleotide ribosomal RNA is filed under the name uncultured bacterium. Its description in RNAcentral is "partial 16S ribosomal RNA". It matches the Rfam family "Bacterial small subunit ribosomal RNA", at positions 524 to 776 of the family's 1533-position model. The record is from RNAcentral.
UACGGGGGGGGCAAGCGUUGUUCGGAAUUACUGGGCGUAAAGGGCGCGUAGGCGGCGAUCCUAGUCAGAUGUGAAAGUCCUGGGCUUAACCUGGGGACUGCAUUUGAUACUGGAUUGCUUGAAUUCGGGAGAGGAUAGCGGAAUUCCCAGUGUAGAGGUGAAAUUCGUAGAUAUUGGGAAGAACACCGGUGGCGAAGGCGGCUAUCUGGACCGACAUUGACGCUGAGGCGCGAAAGCGUGGGGAGCAAACAGG